AAGAUUUUAUGUUAUAUAAACUAAUAGCCUUCAAAGCUAUAGAAAUAAGUAAAACCCUUUUAAAUCUUA
RNAcentral lists this transfer RNA (69 nucleotides) under Pagurus sp. D20M. Its description in RNAcentral is "tRNA-Trp". It matches the Rfam family "tRNA". Rfam says of the family: Transfer RNA (tRNA) molecules are approximately 80 nucleotides in length. Their secondary structure includes four short double-helical elements and three loops (D, anti-codon, and T loops). The record is from RNAcentral. Lineage: Eukaryota; Metazoa; Arthropoda; Malacostraca; Decapoda; Paguridae.